This 567-nucleotide ribosomal RNA is filed under the name Diaporthe sp. 75AM/T. Its description in RNAcentral is "eukaryotic LSU rRNA". The stretch from base 194 to 347 matches the Rfam family "5.8S ribosomal RNA". Lineage: Eukaryota; Fungi; Ascomycota; Sordariomycetes; Diaporthales; Diaporthaceae. The record is from RNAcentral.
CUGCGGAGGGAUCAUUGCUGGAACGCGCCCCAGGCGCACCCAGAAACCCUUUGUGAACUUAUACCUUACUGUUGCCUCGGCGCAUGCUGGCCUCUUAGUAGGCCCCUCACCCCGGUGAGGAGAAGGCACGCCGGCGGCCAAGUUAACUCUUGUUUUUACACUGAAACUCUGAGAAAAAACACAAAUGAAUCAAAACUUUCAACAACGGAUCUCUUGGUUCUGGCAUCGAUGAAGAACGCAGCGAAAUGCGAUAAGUAAUGUGAAUUGCAGAAUUCAGUGAAUCAUCGAAUCUUUGAACGCACAUUGCGCCCUCUGGUAUUCCGGAGGGCAUGCCUGUUCGAGCGUCAUUUCAACCCUCAAGCAUUGCUUGGUGUUGGGGCACUGCUUUUAACGAAGCAGGCCCUAAAAUCUAGUGGCGAGCUCGCCAGGACCCCGAGCGCAGUAGUUAAACCCUCGCUUUGGAAGGCCCUGGCGGUGCCCUGCCGUUAAACCCCCAACUUCUGAAAAUUUGACCUCGGAUCAGGUAGGAAUACCCGCUGAACUUAAGCAUAUCAAUAAGCGGAGGAA